RNAcentral lists this long non-coding RNA (286 nucleotides) under Homo sapiens (human). RNAcentral's name for it is "non-protein coding lnc-SUMF2-5:3". The record is from RNAcentral. Lineage: Eukaryota; Metazoa; Chordata; Mammalia; Primates; Hominidae.
CCUACCAGCACUCAACUCACAGAGGGGAUACUAAUACACCCCUGGCUGAGUAUUCAGCCAAUAGAUGAAAAAAGAUUCAAGGAAGACACAUUUGCUUUUUAUUCACUCAUCACUUCCCAUCACUAUGCUGACCAGAGUCAAUGUGAGCAGAGUUGAGAAUAGCAGUUUUCUGGCAGGAGAGCCACUUCUCAGCAAAAAAUGACACACUCAAAGUAUAAAUCUUUCAUGGAAGGCUCACAUAUUUUCAGCAAAUUAAGCAUAUGCAUGAAUAAAAUUCUUGUGGUGA